Molecule: ribosomal RNA, 399 nt
Filed under: uncultured bacterium
Lineage: Bacteria
Description: bacterial SSU rRNA
Rfam family: Bacterial small subunit ribosomal RNA
Source: RNAcentral
AUUGAACGCUGGCGGCAUGCCUUACACAUGCAAGUCGAACGGCAGCGCGGGGCAACCUGGCGGCGAGUGGCGAACGGGUGAGUAACAUAUCGGAACAUACCCUAGAGUGGGGGAUAACGUAGCGAAAGUUACGCUAAUACCGCAUACGCACUAAGGUGGAAAGUGGGGGAUUCGCAAGAACCUCAUGCUCAUGGAGUGGCCGAUAUCUGAUUAGCUAGUUGGUGAGGUAAAGGCUCACCAAGGCGACGAUCAGUAGCUGGUUUGAGAGAACGACCAGCCACACUGGAACUGAGACACGGUCCAGACUCCUACGGGAGGCAGCAGUGGGGAAUUUUGGACAAUGGGGGGCAACCCUGAUCCAGCAAUGCCGCGUGAGUGAAGAAGGCCUUCGGUUGUAAC